Molecule: unclassified non-coding RNA, 404 nt
Filed under: soil metagenome
Description: partial contains 5.8S ribosomal RNA, internal transcribed spacer 2, and large subunit ribosomal RNA
Rfam family: 5.8S ribosomal RNA (bases 1-121)
Source: RNAcentral
GAUGAAGAACGUAGCGAAAUGCGAUAAGUAAUGUGAAUUGCAGAAUUCAGCGAAUCAUCGAAUCUUUGAACGCACCUUGCGCCCUUUGGCUAUUCCGAAGGGCAUGCCUGUUUGAGUAUCAUGAACACCUCAACUCUCAUGGUUUGCCAUGAUGAGCUUGGACUUUGGGGGUCUUGCCGGCCUAUGGGUCGGCUCCUCUCAAAUUAAUCAGCUUGCCAGUGUUUGGUGGCAUCACAGGUGUGAUAACUAUCUACGCUUGUGGUUUUCCAUCAGGUAACCUUCAGUGAUGGAGGUUCGCUGGGGCUCAUAAAUGUCUCUCCUCAGUGAGGACAGCUUUUUUGAACGUUUGAUCUCAAAUCAGGUAGGACUACCCGCUGAACUUAAGCAUAUCAAUAAGCGGAGGA